UUCAGUGUUUGCUCUCCACACUCUCCCCUAAUCGACUAUUGCAAAAUAUAUUUUUCGAUCACAACACUGUGGAAACCGCCAUCUUCGAUCUUUUACAAUUACCGAUCAUCACCGAUUACGCCUAUCCCCAAGCGUCACUCCAAACUCGUUUGUAAAUGUCUGUUGACAGAAGCAUUAGGUGGUUCUGAUUACGGUAGGAUUUCAAUUGGGUGAG
RNAcentral lists this long non-coding RNA (214 nucleotides) under Helianthus annuus (common sunflower). Its description in RNAcentral is "sRNA HanXRQr2_Chr03g0131491". The record is from RNAcentral. Lineage: Eukaryota; Viridiplantae; Streptophyta; Magnoliopsida; Asterales; Asteraceae.